AGAAACUUCUGGCCUCUGGACACUGUGGGAGCAACUUUUCCUUUAUUAGACUGUCUCCUCUUUAACUGUACCUAGAAGAUACUUUAGCACAGCAAGCAUCUCUUUUAUGCUUACAUUAUGCAGUUAUGCAGACUUGGUGAGAUAGACCAGUGCAAUGGACCUCAUAACCACAUACAAUCUAGUUUUAUGGGGAAACUCCUUGUAUAAAAUUUGAGGAAGAACUUUUUGAAACCCAUGAAGAGUUUGAGAAGUUAAUCCAAGGUGGAACCCUGAUGUACGAGCAAGUGCCCAUGGUGGAAAUCGAUGGAAUGACUUUGGUGCAGACCAGUGCCAUCUUAAGAUAUGUAGCUGCAAAAUAUGACUUGUAUGGAAGGAACCUGGAGGAACAAGCCUGAAGAGAAGGAGAUGAACCUUGAAUACAUCCUCCACCGAGCUACAACAAGAUUCUUCCCCGUUUAUGAGAAGGCCCUGAGAGACCACGGGCAAGACUUUCUUGUGGGCAAUCGGCUGAGCUUGGCUGAUGUCCAGCUCCUUGAAGUCAUCUUAAUGGCUGAAGAAUGCAAAGCCAGUGUUCUCUCGGGUUUCCCUCUGCUACAGGACUUCAAGGUGAGAACCAGCCAAAUUCCUACAAUUAACAGCUUCCUCCAACCUGGAAGCCAGAGGAAGCCUCCUUUGGAGGAGCGAUCCAUUGGGACUGCAAAGGACAUAUUCAAAUUUGAAUGAGGACUGUUUCUUAAAAACAUGAGCAAUAUAGUAGCUGAGUAUUAACAGCUACAGAGGCUGGAGUUACUCAGUAAGUAUACUGAGUAACUUGACACUGCAUUCAUAAAAAGACACUCACUAAGUAUAUGGCCAGAGAAAUAUCCUGAAGUUAGUAAUAAAUGUUAGGAAUCUUAGUAUGUUAGCAAUGUUAGAAUGUUAGUAAUGGAAAUAUUAAAUGUGUAAGAGAAAAACUACUAGAAGCUUAUCAAUAAACUACAAGAACCAACUCUUGUUUGAAGUAAGACAGGCUACCAAGACAGAAUUCAGAAAAUCCAAGGAGCCCUCGGCCUUCUGUAUGAUCCUAGAAUAAACUUGUAUGUAGCAAGUGAAA
Molecule: long non-coding RNA, 1093 nt
Filed under: Mus musculus (house mouse)
Lineage: Eukaryota; Metazoa; Chordata; Mammalia; Rodentia; Muridae
Description: predicted gene, 71569
Source: RNAcentral